CGCUGAACUUAAGCAUAUCA
This 20-nucleotide ribosomal RNA is filed under the name Hebeloma sinapizans. RNAcentral describes it as "partial 28S ribosomal RNA". RNAcentral also lists the same sequence under 2 other names. Lineage: Eukaryota; Fungi; Basidiomycota; Agaricomycetes; Agaricales; Hymenogastraceae. The record is from RNAcentral.